AGAGUUUGAUCAUGGCUCAGAACGAACGCUGGCGGCAGGCUUAACACAUGCAAGUCGAACGGGCGUAGCAAUACGUCAGUGGCAGACGGUGAGUAACACGUGGGAACCUUCCUAGGGGUACGGAACAACUCAGGGAAACUUGAGCUAAUACCGUAUACGUCCGUGAGGAGAAAGAUUUAUCGCCCUUAGACGGGCCCGCGUCGGAUUAGCUAGUUGGUGGGGUAACGGCCUACCAAGGCGACGAUCCGUAGCUGAUCUGAGAGGAUGAUCAGCCACACUGGGACUGAGACACGGCCCAGACUCCUACGGGAGGCAGCAGUGGGGAAUCUUGGACAAUGGGCGCAAGCCUGAUCCAGCCAUGCCGCGUGAGUGAAGAAGGCCUUCGGGUUGUAAAGCUCUUUUGUCAGGGACGAUAAUGACGGUACCUGAAGAAUAAGCCCCGGCAAACUUCGUG
This 454-nucleotide ribosomal RNA is filed under the name uncultured bacterium. RNAcentral's name for it is "bacterial SSU rRNA". It matches the Rfam family "Bacterial small subunit ribosomal RNA", at positions 8 to 507 of the family's 1533-position model. The record is from RNAcentral.